GCUUUCCCAGUCUCUAACAGCAUGGAUUGCUCCAAGCUUCCCUAAAAGUUAUAUUGCAUGGAAAAUGAAAUCAGGAGUGCCUCAGUGUGUAUGCACCUCUGGUUUAUGAUACAUAGUAAAUUUGUAUCAGUAUUAUCGUGAAGCUUUAGAAUAAGGAUGUACUGUCUAACCUACAAGCCUGUAAAAGAAAAGUUGUAACGAAUAUGUGGUUCUUUAAAAAGAGAAGUAUAUUAUGUAUGUGUGAUAUUCAACUAUAGCUCAAUAAUAAUCAGGAUUGAAAUGAUUAGGGGUUACUCUAACCAAAAGAACCCUAAUUUUACCCUAA
Long non-coding RNA from Ricinus communis (castor bean), 325 nucleotides. RefSeq lists it as uncharacterized. The record is from RefSeq and is a predicted model, not a curated record. Lineage: Eukaryota; Viridiplantae; Streptophyta; Magnoliopsida; Malpighiales; Euphorbiaceae. The transcript is spliced from 2 exons.